GCACCAAGUCCCUAAGCGUGAACCCACACGCCUGCAGGCCCACCCCACUGCUGCCGGCACCAGGUCCCUGAGCGUGAACCCACACGCCUGCAAGCGCACCCCACUGCUGCAGGCACCAAGUCCCUAAGCGUGAACCCACACGCCUGCAGGCCCACCCCACUGCUGCCGGCACCAGGUGCUCUGCACUAAGUGCCAGUAGCCAGCAACACUAGGCGGCUCGCUCGUUUCACCUCCCUAAUGACCCUAUGAGGCAGGGAUGAGCAUCAGAACUGUUAUCCAGAGGAGGCAACUGAGACACAGAGGGUGAGUCACGCACCUGGGCCACAGUGCCAGUGGGUAAAAGCUGCAAAUGAAACUCAGGCAGUCUGGUUCCAGGGCUGGCAUCCUUCAUUGCUACACCCACCACCCUGGAUGGGGGGACGCCUGUGUCCACACCCCACCGCCUAUCAGAGAGUCACAGAGCUAUGGGGGUGCACCUGUGCAUGCAUCGAAACAAAUAUCCAUGGAGCGUGGAUGACGUGCCAGGCGCUGUGCCAGGGGAGACACAGCAUGGCGAGCAAGCAGGUGCAAUCCUUGCCUGCUGGGGCUUGGAUCCAGUAGGGCUCACAGACACACACACAUGCACGCACACACACGAGCGUAAUUACAAACUGUGACUGCAUUACAGCUGUAAUUACAAGUUUCCCAGGAAGGAAAAGUAGAGGGUAUCAAUGAGGGAUUUUUGGUAAUGGGGAGGAACUGAUUUUGGAUUGGGAGUGGGCGCUGGACCAGGAAGGUCUGAUGUUUACGCUGAAAUGUAAAUGGUGCCCAGGAAUUCGCCAGGCAAAAAACUGCAAGAAGAGCAUCAAGCUGAUGGGAACAGCAUGUGCAAAAGUCCAGAGGCGAGAAAAAGCCGGUCCCACUACACUGAGAGAGCCGGGUGGGCACAAAGCCUCCAACAGACUGGACGCCACCGAGGGACUGCACGGGCCUGGCU
RNAcentral lists this long non-coding RNA (976 nucleotides) under Pan troglodytes (chimpanzee). RNAcentral's name for it is "long non-coding RNA NONPTRT012857". The record is from RNAcentral. Lineage: Eukaryota; Metazoa; Chordata; Mammalia; Primates; Hominidae.